AACGCGAAGAACCUUACCCAGACUUGACAUACAGUGGAAGUUUGUAGAAAUAUAAACGCCCUUCGGGGCCGCUGAACAGGUGCUGCAUGGCUGUCGUCAGCUCGUGCCGUGAGGUGUUGGGUUAAGUCCCGCAACGAGCGCAACCCUUAUCGUUAGUUGCCAACAGGUAAUGCUGGGAACUCUAGCGAGACUGCCUGGGUUAACCAGGAGGAAGGUGAGGAUGACGUCAAGUCCGCAUGGCCCUUAUGUCUGGGGCUACACACGUGCUACAAUGGUCGGUACAGAAGGCAGCGAAACCGUGAGGUGAAGCAAAUCCCAAAAGCCGGCCCCAGUUCAGAUUGUAGUCUGCAACUCGACUACAUGAAGAUGGAAUUGCUAGUAAUGGCGAGUCAGCAACAUCGCCGUGAAUACGUUCCCGGGCCUUGUACACACCGACGCGUA
RNAcentral lists this ribosomal RNA (441 nucleotides) under uncultured bacterium. RNAcentral describes it as "bacterial SSU rRNA". It matches the Rfam family "Bacterial small subunit ribosomal RNA", at positions 958 to 1399 of the family's 1533-position model. The record is from RNAcentral.